Molecule: long non-coding RNA, 539 nt
Organism: Miniopterus natalensis
Lineage: Eukaryota; Metazoa; Chordata; Mammalia; Chiroptera; Miniopteridae
Source: RefSeq, a predicted model, not a curated record
GCACUGUGCAUUCCUUGCACAGGCACAUGUUGAGUUCUUACUGUAUUUUAGCCCCGGUGUUGGGGGUACAAGCAUUGUCCCCUCCCUCUUGAAGCUAACACUCCAGGAGGAAGAAGGGAGUGUGAUGAACAAAGAGCCAAAACUAUUCAUAACAGAUUGAGGUUGUUACACCGGUGUCUGCAUGUCUCAAAAUUCAGCAGCGUGAUUCACAAGGGCUUAAAUGUGCGAGCAACCCGUGUCCAUCGACAGAGGAAUGAUUAAACACAAUACGGUCCAUCCAGACAGUGGAUUAUUCAGCCUUGAAAAGAAUGAAGUUCUGAUACAUGCUACAACAUGGAUAAACCUUGAAAACAUGUAAAGUGAAAUAAGCCAGACAAAAAAAGGGCAAGUACUGUGUUAUUCCACUAAAAAUGGUUUAAAUGGUAAACUUUAUGUUAAUGCAAUUUACCACAAUUAGAAAAAAACAAGAACCUGCCAUGGCUCCCUCUUGCCUGCCUCACUGAAUCUAAACUCCUCAGCCCUCUGCUGCGCCGGCCUGG